AUUGAACGCUGGCGGCAGGCCUAACACAUGCAAGUCGAACGAGUGGCGGACGGGUGAGUAAUGUCUGGGAAACUGCCUGAUGGAGGGGGAUAACUACUGGAAACGGUAGCUAAUACCGCAUACCAUCGGAUGUGCCCAGAUGGGAUUAGCUAGUAGGUGGGGUAAAGGCUCACCUAGGCGACGGUCCCUAGCUGGUCUGAGAGGAUGACCAUCCACUCUGGAACUGAGCACCGGGCCAGCCUCCUACGGGAGGCAGCAGUGGGGAAUAUUGCACAAGGGGCGCGAGCCUGAUGCAGCCAGGCCGCGUGAAUGUAGAAGGCCUUCGGGUUUUAAAGUACUUUCAGCGGGGAGGCGUUACCCGCGGAAGAAGCACCGGCUAACUCCGUGCCAGCAGCCGCGGUAAUAC
RNAcentral lists this ribosomal RNA (406 nucleotides) under uncultured bacterium. Its description in RNAcentral is "partial 16S ribosomal RNA". It matches the Rfam family "Bacterial small subunit ribosomal RNA", at positions 30 to 526 of the family's 1533-position model. The record is from RNAcentral.